UGGGGAAUAUUGCACAAUGGACGGAAGUCUGAUGCAGCAACGCCGCGUGCGGGAUGACGGCCUUCGGGUUGUAAACCGCUUUUUCUCAUGACGAAGUUUUUUGACGGUAGUGGGGGAAGAAGCACCGGCUAACUACGAGCCAGCAGCCGCGGUGAUACGUAGGGGGCGAGCGUCGUCCGGAAUUAUUGGGAGUAAAGAGCUUGUAGGCGGUUUGUCGCGUCGAUAGUGCAAACUCAGUGCUUAACGCUGAGCCUGCUGUUGAUACGGGCAGACUAGAGGAAGAUAGGGGAGAAUGGAAUUCCCGGUGGAGCGGUGAAAUGCGCAGAUAUCGGGAGGAACACCGGUGGCGAAGGCGGUUCUCUGGGCCUUUCCUGACGCUGAGAAGCGAAAGCGUGGGGAGCGAACAGG
This 408-nucleotide ribosomal RNA is filed under the name Fusobacteriota bacterium. RNAcentral's name for it is "Fusobacteria bacterium partial 16S ribosomal RNA". It matches the Rfam family "Bacterial small subunit ribosomal RNA", at positions 355 to 776 of the family's 1533-position model. The record is from RNAcentral. Lineage: Bacteria; Fusobacteriati; Fusobacteriota.